CCUCCUUCACUCUCCGCUAACUGCUCGUCCUUCACUCUCCUUCACUCUCCGCCACUCUCCGCUAACUGCUCGUCCGUGUGUUCUCCGCCGACCGCCACUCUCGUCGGGGGGUUUCUGCCGGCCGGCACUAGCCAUCUCCGCAGUGGGUGCUCUCCGCCGACCGCGUACCGCCGCCGCGUCUAAGCUUCGACGUCGUCGCCAAAGCCCAACCUCUUCCGCCAUCGCCGCCGCCAUCCUGUGUCGCCGUCGGUCCAGCUGCCGCCGCCGUGAGGUUUAGAUUUUAAGGCUCCUCGUCAACCGGAUAGUAACCAAUGUGGUUUCUUUGUCAUGGCGUACAUGAAAACUUUAAUUGAGAAUAUGCCAGACUUCGAUGAUAAAAAUUCUGUUCAAGCACUGUUUCAACAAGUUGAUUAUGACAAAGCGUUUAUUGAUC
Long non-coding RNA from Ipomoea nil (Japanese morning glory), 433 nucleotides. RefSeq lists it as uncharacterized. The transcript has 3 exons. Lineage: Eukaryota; Viridiplantae; Streptophyta; Magnoliopsida; Solanales; Convolvulaceae. The record is from RefSeq and is a predicted model, not a curated record.